RNAcentral lists this long non-coding RNA (2993 nucleotides) under Homo sapiens (human). RNAcentral's name for it is "HSALNT0092810". Lineage: Eukaryota; Metazoa; Chordata; Mammalia; Primates; Hominidae. The record is from RNAcentral.
CUUUCAUUCUCCUCGUUACCCCAUAAUUAAAAAUACUCUAGAAUUAUACUUUGCAUAUGUACAGGCUAUUAUAUCCUUGACAUCACUGUCUAGUUUACACAUGUAUACAUGCAUAUUACCAUAGAGCAGUGUAUAUACCAAACCAUGGACACUCCACUUAUAUUUAGUGUAAGGGAUACCCAAGAAUUAAUUUGAGAAAACAUUAUUAUCACUUAGGACUUUGACUUUACAACUACCCCCUACAUAAGCUGCCAUCCUUGUAAUGUAGAGUACAUUGUAACAUAAAGAAUAAUACUGUUUUGCAGGAGAGAGUGACUUAUCUAAUAAAUACACCCAAAAUAUUACCUGAUUUUGAAAAUUAUAACAGAAAGAAGUACAGAAAAAUUGGAAAACUUCUUGCCAACAUGAAUCUAGGAAAAAAGGACUUCAAAAUAUUUUGAACAAAACCUGUAGCUAACAUGCUUAAGUUACUUUUAUCCAUAGAGAUUUGGAAUGAGUAAAUAUCCAGUUUUGAGUAAAAAAAAAUCUCUGAAAUAUAAGACAAUUCCAAAUAAAUUAAACGCUGUAUAACGUUUAGUGCUUAGAGAUCCCUUAUUUGAAUCAGAAUUUUAAUAAUAAGCUAUGCCAUUUCUUUUAUAUUAAAAGUCAGUUUCCCAUCCCCAUUAAAUAUUAGCCAAAUUUUUUUAAAAAAUCACCUUGUUGAGGGUUCCAAUUAAUAGCCUAUAUCAAUUUUGGUUUGCUAUAUUCUUUCAUGUAUCUUCAGACAUUUAUUCUGAACUAGCUCUUUCCUGUGUUAAAACCAAACUAAAAAUCCAACGAAAAAAACUCCUUUGACCCAAUGUCCUCUCCAGCUACUGUUAAAUUAUCUCACCUUCCCAGCCAAACUUUGUUUGAGACAAGAUGUCACUCUGUUGCCCAGGCUGGAGUGGCAGUGGUGCGAUCAUGGCUCACUGUAACCUCGACCUCCCAGCUCAGGUGUCCCUCGCACCUCAGCCUCCUGGGUAGCUGGGACUACAGGCGUGGGCCACCAUGCCUGCCUAAUUUUUUGUAUUUUUUGUAGAGACAGGGUUUCACCAUGUUGCCCAGGCUUCUCUUGAACUCCUGGGCUCAAGGAUCCUCCCACCUCAGCCUCCCCAAGUCCUGGGAUUAUAGGCAUGAGCCACUGCACCUGGCCCUAGCCCAACUUUUUAAAUUAGCUAAGGUUGUUUGCAAUUCUGAAACUUGACUUAUUCAGUCUUUUAAGUGGUCUCCUCAAUUUAAUUUCUGUUUCAAUUCGUUCUCCAAACUGUAAGUUGAGCAACUUCUAAAAUACAGAUUUCAUCAUGACACUCUCAAUCUUGAAAUCAUUCUAUUGCUCUCUAUUCCUAUAAGGAUACAGUGUCAAUUCCACUGCAUCAUUUAUGAGGUUCUCCACCACCUGGUGCCUACUACCUCACCAGCUCAGCUCUUGCUGCUCACAUAUACCUGGAACUCUAGCUCAUUAAUCUUUCCCUGUUCAGUUUCUCAAUUGUGUCAUGCUCACUCUCACCUAGAAAGUUACUCAGACUGUUUCCUCUGUCUGGGACUUCUUUUGUCGGAUUUUCAGGGCUCUCACCCUUCACCUCUCAGCUUAAAUGUGUCUUCUCCAUCAUGGUCUUUGUUAGGGUUCCUUGCCACAUGUUGUCCUUGUGAGACAGCCAGGUGGGAGGGGGUCCCUGGAGAAACUCCAACAAGCCUGCCCACUGAGUUGGAGCCUCUGAAGUUCACCGUGUUUGCAGCAGGGAGGAACCUGGCCCCUCCUCUUCCUGUGUGGAACCUGGGAUUCAAAUUGCCGGGCUGGAAGUGCUCUAGCAGAGGGAGUUUCCCCCGUUUUUCCUUUUUCACUCAAUGAAACCCUGCUUUACUCACCCUUUAAGCCAUGGGCCAGCCUAAAUUUUCAUUUUCAUGGCCGUGGGAGGGACAAGAACCCCCAUCUUUAGCUGAACUAAGGAAAAGUCCUGCAACAUUUUUGACGCACAACGUGGUGGCUUGAGAAGCCGUGAGUGAAAUGGGGACUCAAAACUUCUCUCUGUUGCUCCUAAGCAUUUUCAUCCUCCGACUUCUGAGGGUGAGGGAAAGAUGCCCCCAAACCUGGUGGCUCCCGGGGGCGGGGGGGUCAGGAGAAAGGCCCUUUCCUUCCUUUUUUGGGAAGGACAGGUGAGCAGGAAGUCCUCUCUCCCCCUCCCCUUCCUGCAGAGGCUGGGACUCAUAGCCCAAGGGUCCUGCACAGCCCGCUGGCUGGAAGGGGUUCAGCUUUGAACUUUAGUUUUGAGUAAGAUAGGAAAAGCCGAAGAAGUGGCGGAAGAAUUGUGGAAAUUAAUCUUGCAGAAGAGGUUCUCUGUGUGAACUUAUUAACUAAAUUUAAAGGGGUUAUAAAAGGUUUUUGCUUCUUUAAAUGUCUAAGUCAUCAUUUUGGCAAUAGAAAUCACGUAUGAUAAUCUGGAACUCUCUUUCGUAAUAUCAAGUGUUUUAAACCUUGAACAUUUAACCUUGAACCUUGAACAUUUAACCUUGAACCUUGAACAGCCUUCUCAAAAUCAAAAUUUUGAAAAGUUUCAAAAUUGUCUUCCCUGGCAUCUGGCUUUUCGAAUACUUAAGAGGGCCCCUAAAGUGUCCAGAAAAGAGAGGUAAACAGGAUUAUUUGGCAUGUUUAGGUACAUGGGAUUGCCAAAAUGAUGCUCAGUCUUCUUUAGGUUAUAUCUUGGUGAAUAAUGCUAAUAUAUAUUCCAAAAUUGCAUGGGAUUUCUAAAAUUCUAAUGUCUGAGUAUAUGCUAUCAAUCACAAUUAAGGUUUUUAUGUUAAGUUAUUGUAAACCACAGGGAUAACCAAGCUUCUUUGUCAAUUGUGUUUCUAAUUUUAACUACCCUGGACAUUUUGCUAUUCACAGACAAUUGUUGUCUUGUUUUAAUUCUUUUCAAAAGAUGGUUUAUAAUAGGGUAUAAGACUCUGAUAAGUGCUUUCAGAUACAAUUUCUG